AGAGUUUGAUCCUGGCUCAGAUUGAACGCUGGCGGAAUGCUUUACACAUGCAAGUCGAACGGCAGCACGGGGGCAACCCUGGUGGCGAGUGGCGAACGGGUGAGUAAUACAUCGGAACGUGCCCAGUCGUGGGGGAUAACGUAGCGAAAGCUACGCUAAUACCGCAUACGAUCUCUGGAUGAAAGCGGGGGACCGCAAGGCCUCGCGCGAUUGGAGCGGCCGAUGGCAGAUUAGGUAGUUGGUGGGGUAAAGGCUCACCAAGCCGACGAUCUGUAGCUGGUCUGAGAGGACGACCAGCCACACUGGGACUGAGACACGGCCCAGACUCCUACGGGAGGCAGCAGUGGGGAAUUUUGGACAAUGGGCGAAAGCCUGAUCCAGCCAUUCCGCGUGCAGGAUGAAGGCCCUCGGGUUGUAAACUGCUUUUGUACGGAACGAAACGGUCCUGGUUAAUACCCGGGGCUAAUGACGGUACCGUAAGAAUAAGCACC
RNAcentral lists this ribosomal RNA (491 nucleotides) under uncultured bacterium. Its description in RNAcentral is "bacterial SSU rRNA". It matches the Rfam family "Bacterial small subunit ribosomal RNA", at positions 8 to 494 of the family's 1533-position model. The record is from RNAcentral.